CAGUAAUAAACUGAAAAAUUGUCCGGUGGAUUUUGCAUCAAAGCAUAUCCAAGAGGAAAUAAAGCACCAAAGCUGACCAAAACAAGAACAGACAAGUCUACGCACUGCUUAUGCCAGGUGCAAAUGUGGAUGAAAUAAACUUAUUUAACUGAAAUGAUUAGAUCAGGUCCAGGAAACAUCUUCACUAACUGUUUUUCUUCUUCUAAAGACAGACACUGAAACCUGUAAAGAGCAGCUCCAUUUCUUUUUAUUGUGUCAGACUUUCCUCUCAGGCUCUUACUACUAAAAACUAUCAGUGAGACGUGAAAUGGAGCCAAAUCGAAGCUUGUUGUAGAGGUCAAAGGUUAAAAAACAAAGAGGCAGAUUUAAUCCAGCAAAGUCAAAGGUCAGAACGUUUUUGACAUACUCAUACUGAUUUGAUAUCUGCUACACGUCUGUCUCAGCUUAAAAAAAAAAACAGUGGAAGUGUCCUUUAAAUAGUCAAACAUGCAACAGAUACAAAACCUGCAGACUGAACUGUUUAGAUCUGAUAGAAACUGAGAAACAAUCUUUAGUCUCAAAUAUAAACCAACAAAUGACCCGUAUAACACCGGUAAUCCUUUGGCUACUUGAUAUCUGUAUGAGCUCUCUCAUCUCAGCUGAAAGACUCCUGCAAUAACCACGCUCAGAAAUGACAGCGAAGCCUCUUGAGAUCUCUUCAAGUGCACUUUAAGUUUUUCUAUGCCUCCAAAUGAAUAACCUCUGUUACACCUGUGAGUAAAAGUAUAAAAUAUGAUGAAAAAUCCUGAGAAAUCUUGUACAAAGAGACGGGUGAUUGAAAUUCAAACAUUCAGUUCAGCUAUGAAAACUGAGGCCUCGUUUUCCCACCUGCUAUUAUUUCCUUUUUUGUCGUCAUAAUAAUAAGAAAGUUCUCCUGCUUUGCUUUACAAAUAUGUAAAUAAUUGAUUAAUCUAUUUCUGAUCCAUUAAUAUAUGCUUGUCAACUUUUCUCCCAUAGUGCACAGCCUGACAUGACCCAGUUUUUGGCGUCUAAAUGCAGUUGAAUGCAAUGGAAAAGUACAUUUACAUACACAGCAGUACUGUGUGUGUGUGUGUGUGUGUGUGUGUGUGUGUGUGUGUGUGUGUGUGUGUGUGUGCGUGCGUGCGUGCGUGUGUGUGUGUGUGUGUGUGUGUGUGAAGACCUGUGGACCCACUUUGUUCAAAAUUGGUUGAGUUAACCGUUAAUUACGACUGCCCGAGGCACAACCUCUGAAUACAGGGCAUGAAUAUGAGGCUGCUAGGCCAGCGAUGCCCCAGGUUAGCUUCAUUUACACAUUAUUCUGGAGAUUUGAUUUAGGAAUGAAUCUGAGCAGGGCUGUAUUAAUCACUCACAGCUGUUGUGACGGAGCAUCUCUUGACUGAGAGAAAUCUCCUCCACAGAAACAGAGCGGAGUCCGAUUUCAUCCACUUCAGCCUUAACGCAUCAAAAACACUUCAUGUGAAGGUCGUCCUCUGUGGCCUGUUCAGCCGACUCUUUUCUUCAGACUCUUUCUGUGUUUUUUUGUUGUUUUCAGACACAGACAGUUUCCUCAUGGAGAUCAAUAAGGUGACUGAAAACAAUAAUAGGGAUUGUUCAGAUUAGAGAAUCUGAUUCAUAACACUUGGCCUUCUAGGUUGGGCUCCUUAAGGUCCUUACACAUCAGGGCCGACGUGAAUAUAGAACGUGAAACUACGAAAUAUUCAGAGGUGAAUUUUGACGGGCCUGACUAUACACAUCAAGCCCGAUGCGAUUUUGCGACUUUUCAGGGGAGAAAAGACGCAUCCCAGGGGAAGACUUUUCCCAGGGAAAGUCCAGCCUCCCUCUCCUCUGAUUGGCUAGAAAAGCUAGAAACUUCAUCACAUGCUCAAGCCAAACGGUCAGCACUUACAGCCAAUCAGAGGUGAUAAGAUAAGCACAUGAAACUAUUGUAACAAGCAUUAGCACAGAUGAAAGUUAAAACAAAGGCGUUUAGCAAACUGUUAAAGCACACAAACCAUCGUCAUAUGAGAGAUCUGACGCUAUGUUGUCCUUCUGGUUGUUAUCUUUGUAAUGUUUGUGUCUUUUAUCAUAAAUCACUCUGUUCUCCGACACAUAAACAAUCAGCCGGUCGGCCAUAUUGGAUAUACCAGUGAAUCAGACAACGCAACAGCACACAAUCUGAUUGGUCAGAAGUGGACACACAUUAUGUGAAACUUUAGAAAAAUCGACCGUGACCCGAAAAAAUAAAUGCCGCAAUAUCGCAGGACGGGAAAACGUCGCUGAUGUGAACGCUUGUAAUGACAGGAUACAGGUUCGAAGAAAAUACUGACGUCCGAAAUAAUGGCCCAAAAAAAACGGUCCCGGUGUGAAAGGACCUUAAUUCUCUCGUUGCUCCACUGAUGUUUCGAGAGUGAAGCUUCAUCCUCCUGCACAGCAUACACAGUUGAUUCCUCCAUCUUUAGGUGUGAAGUGCACUGAGGGGCUUUCACAGCUCUGAAGAAGUCAUUGUUUCACUUUGAAGCUUCUCUGAGGCAACUUUUCAGCUCUGUAGACUUUUAACCUCCAUUGUUCUCCAAAGUCUCCCAAAGGCCUCCUCUG
Non-coding RNA from Xyrichtys novacula (pearly razorfish), 2595 nucleotides. Lineage: Eukaryota; Metazoa; Chordata; Actinopteri; Labriformes; Labridae. The record is from the annotation of a GenBank genome assembly.